Molecule: non-coding RNA, 97 nt
Filed under: Fructilactobacillus lindneri
Lineage: Bacteria; Bacillati; Bacillota; Bacilli; Lactobacillales; Lactobacillaceae
Also listed under: 1 other name
Description: Lactobacillus lindneri THF-I sequence
Rfam family: THF (Tetrahydrofolate) riboswitch aptamer
About the family: THF riboswitch presents a pseudoknot that joins P1-P2 and the loop of P3 and two THF binding.
Source: RNAcentral
UUUGGGGUAGAAACUAGCGCGUUAAGUGCCAAUGGAACGGAAUGUGAACAUUGGACGAAAAGUAUUUACUUGCGGUGCUAGUUUCGCAUUCGCCACU